This 856-nucleotide ribosomal RNA is filed under the name Metarhizium anisopliae. Its description in RNAcentral is "partial large subunit ribosomal RNA". It matches the Rfam family "Eukaryotic large subunit ribosomal RNA", at positions 56 to 936 of the family's 3401-position model. The record is from RNAcentral. Lineage: Eukaryota; Fungi; Ascomycota; Sordariomycetes; Hypocreales; Clavicipitaceae.
GAAAAGAACCAACAGGGAUUGCCCCAGUAACGGCGAGUGAAGCGGCAACAGCUCAAAUUUGAAAUCUGGUCCCCAGGGCCCGAGUUGUAAUUUGCAGAGGAUGCUUUUGGUGAGGUGCCUUCCGAGUUCCCUGGAACGGGACGCCAUAGAGGGUGAGAGCCCCGUCUGGUUGGAUACCGAGCCUCUGUAAAGCUCCUUCGACGAGUCGAGUAGUUUGGGAAUGCUGCUCUAAAUGGGAGGUAUAUGUCUUCUAAAGCUAAAUAUUGGCCAGAGACCGAUAGCGCACAAGUAGAGUGAUCGAAAGAUGAAAAGCACUUUGAAAAGAGGGUUAAAUAGUACGUGAAAUUGUUGAAAGGGAAGCACUUAUGACCAGACUUGGCCCCGGUGAAUCAUCCAGCGGUUCCCGUUGGUGCACUUUGCCGGGGUUCAGGCCAGCAUCAGUUCGCUCCGGGGGAUAAAGGCUUUGGGAAUGUGGCUCCCUCGGGAGUGUUAUAGCCCAUUGCGCAAUACCCUGUGGCGGGCUGAGGUUCGCGCUUUAUGCAAGGAUGCUGGCAUAAUGGUCAUCAGUGACCCGUCUUGAAACACGGACCAAGGAGUCGUCUUCGUAUGCGAGUGUUCGGGUGUUAAACCCCUACGCGUAAUGAAAGUGAACGCAGGUGAGAGCCCUCCAGGGCGCAUCAUCGACCGAUCCUGAUGUUCUCGGAUGGAUUUGAGUAAGAGCAUACGGGGCCGGACCCGAAAGAAGGUGAACUAUGCCUGUAUAGGGUGAAGCCAGAGGAAACUCUGGUGGAGGCUCGCAGCGGUUCUGACGUGCAAAUCGAUCGUCAAAUAUGGGCAUGGGGGCGAAAGACUAAUC